UUGCUAAAUAACUCCUGUAGUUGUGAAAGUAAAAAUGUGAGAACGUAACAAAAGCUUUUGAUGAUGUUGAAGCAUGGCUUUGCCAUUUUUUUUACGGUGACAGCUUUGAGCAAGUUCAUUUCUUAUCAAGAAUAAUAAAAAGCAACAGGAUUUCUUUGUAAUAAGAGAAGCUGAUGUACGGAUCAAUGGUACUCUUGAAAUCACGGGAAUUGCAUGAUCUUCGAAUCACGUUUACGUCAUGUAGGGUUCUGUCAAAGGUGCAAAUGGAUGCAGUUGCCGUAAAGAUUUUAACGAAUGAUUCCAUUUCAUCCCCGGCAUUCUGCUCUUGAUCAACACUGUUGUACUUCCAAGAAAGCAACUUUCUGAGAAGACAAGCAAGUCGACGUUCUCGCCAUCGAUGCAGCAAUCAAGUCGAGAGAAUUGCAUGAACUUCACACCAUGUGGACAAUCGUGGCGAAAAAGACUUCCAAGAAUUUGGACCAGAAUACAGUCCUGGAUGCAAGUUGACUGUGAAAAGGCGUAGUUAAGUGUACCGGCUUCAAUUUCAUUGCAUUCUAUUUUAUCAGCAAUAACUGGUAAUCUGUAUCUUUUAAGAUCUAUAGGGCAUUAAAGUUUUAAAAAGUGAAACUAUUUUAUAUACGAUAAUUUUUGAUAAUUCCUUGUUCUUGUAAAUUA
Molecule: long non-coding RNA, 675 nt
Organism: Argiope bruennichi
Lineage: Eukaryota; Metazoa; Arthropoda; Arachnida; Araneae; Araneidae
Exons: 3
Source: RefSeq, a predicted model, not a curated record